This 358-nucleotide ribosomal RNA is filed under the name uncultured bacterium. RNAcentral describes it as "bacterial SSU rRNA". It matches the Rfam family "Bacterial small subunit ribosomal RNA", at positions 355 to 710 of the family's 1533-position model. The record is from RNAcentral.
UAAGGAAUAUUGGACAAUGGAGGCAACUCUGAUCCAGCCAUGCCGCGUGAAGGAAUAAGGCCCUAUGGGUUGUAAACUUCUUUUAGACGGGACAAAACCCCUUUACGUGUAAAGGGUUGAUGGUACUGUCAGAAUAAGCAUCGGCUAACUUCGUGCCAGCAGCCGCGGUAAUACGAAGGAUGCAAGCGUUAUCCGGAAUUAUUGGGUUUAAAGGGUGCGUAGGCGGACUAAUAAGUCAGUGGUGAAAGCCUGCAGCUUAACUGCAGAAUUGCCAUUGAUACUGUUAGUCUUGAGUACAGUUGAGGUAGGCGGAAUGUGUCAUGUAGCGGUGAAAUGCUUAGAUAUGACACAGAACACC